This 228-nucleotide ribosomal RNA is filed under the name uncultured bacterium. RNAcentral's name for it is "partial 16S ribosomal RNA". It matches the Rfam family "Bacterial small subunit ribosomal RNA", at positions 105 to 334 of the family's 1533-position model. The record is from RNAcentral.
GGAGGUAACGCGUGGAUAACCUGCCUCACACAGGGGAGUAACAGUUAGAAAUGACUGCUAAUACCGCAUAAGCGCACAGUACCGCAUGGUACAGUGUGAAAAACUCCGGUGGUGUGAGAUGGAUCCGCGUCUGAUUAGGUAGUUGGUGGGGUAACGGCCCACCAAGCCGACGAUCAGUAGCCGACCUGAGAGGGUGACCGGCCACAUUGGGACUGAGACACGGCCCAA